UACGGGGGGAGCAAGCGUUGUUCGGAUUUACUGGGCGUAAAGGGCGCGUAGGCGGUCGUGACAAGUCACUUGUGAAAUCUCCGGGCUUAACUCGGAACGGUCAAGUGAUACUGUCGGACUAGAGUACAGAAGGGGCAACUGGAAUUCUCGGUGUAGCGGUGAAAUGCGUAGAUAUCGAGAGGAACACCUGCGGCGAAGGCGGCCAUCUGGACCGUUUCUGACGCUGAGGCGCGAAAGCGUGGGGAGCAAACAGG
Molecule: ribosomal RNA, 254 nt
Filed under: uncultured bacterium
Lineage: Bacteria
Description: partial 16S ribosomal RNA
Rfam family: Bacterial small subunit ribosomal RNA
Source: RNAcentral